This 806-nucleotide ribosomal RNA is filed under the name uncultured bacterium. RNAcentral describes it as "bacterial SSU rRNA". It matches the Rfam family "Bacterial small subunit ribosomal RNA", at positions 358 to 1182 of the family's 1533-position model. The record is from RNAcentral.
GGAAUCUUGCACAAUGGAGGAAACUCUGAUGCAGCGAUGCCGCGUGAGUGAAGAAGGCCUUUGGGUUGUAAAGCUCUUUCGUCGGGGAAGAAAAUGACUGUACCCGAAUAAGAAGGUCCGGCUAACUUCGUGCCAGCAGCCGCGGUAAUACGAAGGGACCUAGCGUAGUUCGGAAUUACUGGGCUUAAAGAGUUCGUAGGUGGUUGAAAAAGUUGGUGGUGAAAUCCCAGAGCUUAACUCUGGAACUGCCAUCAAAACUUUUCAGCUAGAGUAUGAUAGAGGAAAGCAGAAUUUCUAGUGUAGAGGUGAAAUUCGUAGAUAUUAGAAAGAAUACCAACUGCGAAGGCAGCUUUCUGGAUCAUUACUGACACUGAGGAACGAAAGCAUGGGUAGCGAAGAGGAUUAGAUACCCUCGUAGUCCAUGCCGUAAACGAUGUGUGUUAGACGUUGGAAAUUUAUUUUCAGUGUCGCAGGGAAACCGAUAAACACACCGCCUGGGGAGUACGACCGCAAGGUUAAAACUCAAAUGAAUUGACGGGGACCCGCACAAGUAGUGGAGCAUGUGGUUUAAUUCGAAGAUACGCGCAGAACCUUACCAACACUUGACAUGUUCGUCGCGACUCUAAGAGAUUAGAGUUUUCGGUUCGGCCGGACGAAACACAGGUGCUGCAUGGCUGUCGUCAGCUCGUGUCGUGAGAUGUUGGGUUAAGUCCCGCAACGAGCGCAACCCUCACUUUUAGUUGCCAUCAUUAAGUUGGGCACUCUGAAAGAACUGCCAGUGAUAAGCUGGAGGAAGGUGGGGAUGA